CGCGGCCUAUCAGCUUGUUGGUGAGGUAAUGGCUCACCAAGGCGACGACGGGUAGCCGGCCUGAGAGGGCGACCGGCCACACUGGAACUGAGACACGGUCCAGACUCCUACGGGAGGCAGCAGUGGGGAAUAUUGCACAAUGGGCGCAAGCCUGAUGCAGCGACGCCGCGUGGGGGAUGAAGGCCUUCGGGUUGUAAACCCCUUUCAGUAGGGAAGAAGCGAAAGUGACGGUACCUACAGAAGAAGCGCCGGCUAACUACGUGCCAGCAGCCGCGGUAAUACGUAGGGCGCAAGCGUUGUCCGGAAUUAUUGGGCGUAAAGAGCUCGUAGGCGGUCUGUCGCGUCUGCUGUGAAAUCCCGAGGCUCAACCUCGGGACUGCAGUGGGUACGGGCAGACUAGAGUGUGGUAGGGGAGACUGGAAUUCCUGGUGUAGCGGUGGAAUGCGCAGAUAUCAGGAGGAACACCAAUGGCGAAGGCAGGUCUCUGGGCCACUACUGACGCUGAGGAGCGAAAGCAUGGGGAGCGAACAGGAUUAGAUACCCUGGUAGUCCAUGCCGUAAACGGUGGGCACUAGAUGUGGGGCUCUUUCCAUGAGUUCCGCGUCGCAGCUCACGCAUUAAGUGCCCCGCCUGGGGAGUACGG
Molecule: ribosomal RNA, 643 nt
Filed under: uncultured actinomycete
Lineage: Bacteria; Bacillati; Actinomycetota; Actinomycetes; Actinomycetales
Description: bacterial SSU rRNA
Rfam family: Bacterial small subunit ribosomal RNA
Source: RNAcentral